GGCAUAAACAAAAUAAUAAAGUCAAACAACCUCCAGGCCGUUACACGCAUUGCGAGGACAGGAAGCCCAAUCACGAAAGUAACUUUAACACUUCUCGAUCCACGAAAGCUGAAAAACAAACUGGGAUUAGAUACCCCACUAUG
RNAcentral lists this ribosomal RNA (143 nucleotides) under Moenkhausia intermedia. Its description in RNAcentral is "partial small subunit ribosomal RNA". The record is from RNAcentral. Lineage: Eukaryota; Metazoa; Chordata; Actinopteri; Characiformes; Acestrorhamphidae.